Molecule: long non-coding RNA, 5332 nt
Organism: Loxodonta africana (African savanna elephant)
Lineage: Eukaryota; Metazoa; Chordata; Mammalia; Proboscidea; Elephantidae
Exons: 2
Source: RefSeq, a predicted model, not a curated record
AUAGAAUGUCAUAUUCAGUGUAGAAUAGAUAGAGUUUCUUUGUUUGUUUGUUUACCAUAUUUACUAUCACUUACAUUUGAUAACUUCCACAUUCUGUUGGAUCGCUUUUCUUUGGAAUGGAUACAAACGUGCAUCUCUUGCAGUCUGUUGGCCAGGUAGCUAGCUUCCAAAUUUCUUUGCAUAGUGGAGUGGGCAUGAACAGUGCUGCAUCUGUUCGUUGAACCAACUCAGUGGGUAUUCUGUCAGCUCCUGGAGCCUUGUUUUUCACCAGUGCCUUCAGUGUAGCUUGGACUUCUUGCUUCACUACUACCAGUUCUUGAUCAUAUGCCACCUCAUGAAAUGACUGAAAGUUGACCAUUUCUUUUGGUACUGUGACUCUGUGUAUUCUUUCCAUCUUUUGUGUGUGUGCUUUAAGUGAAACUUUACAAAUCAAGUCAGUCUCUCAUACAAAAAUUAGUAUACAGCUUGCUAUGUACUCCUAGUUCCUCUCCCACUAAUGAGACAGCACACUCCUUCUCUCAGCCCUGUAUUCCCCAUGUCCAUUCAGCCACUUUCUGUCCCCCUCUGCCUUCUCAUCUCCCCUCCAAACGGGAGCUGCCCACAUAGUCUCAUGUGUCCACUUGAGACCAGAAGGUCACUCCUCACCACUAUCAUUUUCCAUGCUAUAAUCCAGUCCAAUCCCUGUCUGAAGAGUUGGCUUUGGGAAUAGUUCCAGUCUUGGGCCAACAGAAGGUCUGGGGAUCGUGACCUCUAGGGUUCCUCUAGUCUCAGUCAGAUCAUUAAGUCUGAUUUUUUUAUGGGACUUUGAGGUCUGCAUCUCACUGCUCUCGUGCUCCGUCAGGGAUACUCUGUUUCGUUCCCUGUCGUAGCAGUCUUCAGUUGUAGACGGGCACCAUCUAGUUCUUCUGGUCUCAGGCUGAUGUAGUCUUGGAUUUACGUGGCCAUUUCUGUCUUUUGGACUCAUAAUUACCUUGUAUCUUUGGUGUUCUUCAUUCUCCUUUGCUCCAGGUGGGUUGAGACCAAUUGAUGCAUCUUAGAUGGCCGCUUGAUAGUGUUUUUAAGACUGCAGAUGCCACUCACCAAAGUGGGAUGCAGAAUGUUUUCUUAAUAGAUUUUAUUAUGCCAAUUGACCUAGAUGUCCCCUGAAAACAUGGUCCCCCUACUGCUGCCCCUGCUACUCUGACCUUUGGAGCUUUUGGUUUAUUCAGGAAACUGCUUUUGGUUUAGUCCAGUUAUGCUGACCUCUCCUUUAUUGUAUGAUGUCUUUCCCUUCACCUAAAAUAGUUCUUGUCUACUAUCUCAUUUGCGAAUAUCCUUCUCCCUCCCUUUCUCCCCACCCUCAUAACCAUCAAAGAAUAUUUUCUUCUCUGUUUAAACUAUUUCUUGAGUUCUUAUAAUAGUGGUCUCAUACAAUAUUCGUCCUUUUGCAACUGACUAAUUUCACUCAGCAUAAUGCCCUCCAGAUUCCUCCAAGCUAUGAAAUAUUUCACGGAUUCAUCAUUGUUCUUGAUCUAUGUGAAGUAUUCUAUCGUGUGAAUGUACCACAAUUUAUUUAUCCAUUCAUCUGUUGGUGGGCACCUUGGUUACUUCCAUCUUUCUCCUAUUGUAAACAGUGCUGCAAUGAACAUGGUUGUGCAUAUAUCUGUUCAUAUAAAGGCUCUUAUUUCUCUAAGAUAUAUUCCAAGGAGUGGGAUUGCCAUAUGCUAUGGUAGUUCUAUUUCUAGCUUUUUAAGGAAGUGCCAGAUUGAUUUCCAAAGUGGCUGCACCAUUUUAAACUCCCACCAGCAGUGAAUAAGUGUUCCAGUCUCUCUACAACCUCUCGAACAUUUAUUAUUUUGUGAUUUGGGAUUAAUGGCAGCCUUGUUGGAGUGAGAUGGUAUCUCAUUGUAGUUUUGAUUUACAUUUCUCUAACGGCUAAUGAUUAUGAGCAUUUCCUCAUGUAUCUGUUACCUGCCUGAAUGUCUUCUUCGUUGAAGUGCCUAUUCCUAUCCUUUGCCCAUUUUUAAAAUGGAUUAUUUGUCUUUUUGUUAUUGAGUUUUUGCAAUAUCAUGUAGAUUUUAGAGAUCAGAUGCUGAUCGGAAAUGUUAUAGCUCAAAACUGUUUCCCAGGCUGUAGGCAAUCAGUUUACUCUCCUGGUGAAGACUUUGGAUGAGCAUAAGUGUUUGAUUUUUAGGAGUUACCUAAUUUCUCUUUGGGUACUUGUACAUUGUUAGUAAUGUUUUUUGUUACAAUCCCACCCUAAUCCUCUUUAACAUAAAAUUACAAUCACAAAAUGGAGGACAACUACAGAACACUGGGAAUCAUGGCCUAACCAACUUGGUACACACAUUUUUCGGGGGGGACAUAAUACAAUCCAUGACAUCCACCUUUUAGUAUAUUUUGGGGACUGGCUCUUUUAGUCAGAAACAGGUUGAAUAAAAGUGCUUACUUACCAGCAGUUUCCCGACAGUGUUGGUGACGGAUCCCCAGUUGGAUACACACAAUCACACUGACUGCAUUUGCGGUGCCUCAGCAAGUCCCACUUGCCUUCGUAACACUGAUCUCUAGAACAAAACACAGCUCUGUAAGCAAGUCAGUUAAAAAUAAAGGCAUUGGAUAUUGAACAUCACUAAAGACAUAAGUGCAUAUUGGUUCUGUGUUGGUUGCCAGAAUCUAAUUCUCUUAAUUAAUUCAUAUUUUUUGUAGAUAUUUUUCUUGCUCCAUAUACCCAGAGUUCUGUGUACAUAUAAUGAACAUUCUACACGUAGGUUUCUCACAAAUAUUACCCAAUGUCAUUCAUUUUUUUGACCAUUCACUCAAUGUUCAAGAAUAAAUUGAAGUAUAGGAAAUAUUCUUAUGGUUAUUUAACUCUAAGGAUGAAGAAAUUGCAUAGCGGGUCUUGGCUCCCUUUAGAAAUUCUCUGCCUGAUGCAGUUCCACACAGCAACACGGACCUUCAUCUCAGCACAGGAAGAAAGACAGCUUUGUCUCAAUAUCUGCCACUGCUCUUCACCUUCUACUAAGGAAACUCAGGAAUCAAAUAUUUUAUACUGUCCAGCAAUGCUUACACUGUAAGUAUAAAGUGGGAGCCAUUAUAACGUUAAGGGAAAUAUCAUUGAUACAAUGUUGGCUUUUUAAUUAGGCAGAUUUGUCUUUGUAAUCCCACUCUGCCCUUAAUUGGCUGAUGACUUUAAGUAUGCUUCUUUACUUUCCGUAGCCUUGAUUUACUCACCCACAGAAUGGGACGAUGACCUUCAUCUGGAAAGAAUAUACAUAUAUACAUAUAUACAGACGUAUGAAGCUUACUUCUGACAAUACUAACAAAUACUGCUAUUUUUUUUUUUUUUGCCUUCUUUACUCCAAGCUUCUAGACGGUUUACUCAGUUACAUUUCCUUCCUUCCUUUCUUCUUUCUUUCUAUGCUGCCUCUUUUUUUUUCCCUUUCAGUUUUAUUGUGAAUUCAUAAACGCUAGGUUGAAUUUCAGUGUUUAUAUGCUAUUGGGGGUAUGCAUAUAAGUAAGCAAAUUUAGCUUCCUGAAAUUGAAAUGUAGGUAAUUCCUGCACUGUCUGCCUCACAUGACAUGCGAAAGUUAUUUAAAAUAGUAAGAAAAUAUAAAUAUGUUACUUAUUAUCUAUUGAAUCCAUACAUCAGGCUAGAUAAUUUAACUGUCAUGUUGAAGUGAUAAAUUUAUAAAUAUAGAUAUUAAUAUUUUGUUAUUAAUGUAAGAAGAGUAAGUUAGACACCUAAUAUGAAGAGCAGGUAAGGAUUUCAAAAGGAUUGGUUCUCAGAAGAGUAGGACUAGAACAGUAAUAAACAAAAGGUAAAAUAUGUUCGUAGCAGGAACAUACAGAAGGUUGCUUCUACAAUGGUGUUUAAAAUAGAAUAAUGUAUAUUUGAUUAGACAAUCAUUUAUGGGAAUAAAAAGAUUAAGAAAAUUUAUCCUUACCUGCAAAAUCUUAGAACCGAAAAACCAAACCAAACCCAGUGCCGUCGAGUCGACUCCACUCCUACUCAUGGCGACCCUAUAGGACAGAGUAGAACUGCCCCAUAGAGUUUCCAAGGAGCGCCUGGAGGAUUCAAACUGCUGACCCUUUGGUUAGCAGCUGUAGCACUUAACCACUAUGCCACCAGGGUUUCCACAAAAUCUUAGAAGCAGCAACAUAUUCAUCAUAUUUCAUCCAGAACAUUCCUGAUGUCCUGCAGUCAUGCAUUUAAAGUCAUUUUUGCAGAAACAUUCAUUUUUAUAGCUACUUACCUUCCUGGUGAUUACAUCAUUGGCUCAUAAAGACGAGAAAAAGAACCAAAUGCAAUUUGGCUGUCUUGACUGGGUCCCAAAGAAGACUAUUAAGUUAAACAAAUGAAUAGAAACAUCUUAAAUAAGCAAUAUCUUCUAUGUGCAACUGCUUGUGUGUGGCACCAGGAAAAUAAACACUAAUCAAGGUAAUUUUAAUUCCCAGUGAAAUGAAACAUCAUAUGGAAACAUGGGGAUUUUACUCUCCCUUGAUAAUUAUAUCAUCUAGAAUCAUCUCAUGUGAGAUUUUUAUCAUAAAGGAAGGGUCCAUGGAAAGGAAAUGCCUGACUGGAGCCCGCUGUGGAUUAUUCUUAAUUGCCUCUCCACUCUCACAUUCCCAAAAGGAAGGAGGAUAUCAGGGCUUAAUAUGACUCAAGUACAGCAUGAAAAAAUGGAAUAUGUUUGCAAAUGUCAACACAACUAUUUGUAAAAUAAUUAGAUAUUUAUUAAAUCAUUUUGUGAGAAAUGAAGUGGCUCUGAUCAGACUUAAAUAAAUGGGUUGACUAAUUUUUUUUUUGUUGUUAAUAUUUGAAUGUACCAUGCAACUAGGUUGAUGGAAGUUGUAUAUAAAAGUUAUCCAAAUCACUCAGUAGGAUCAUUUCAAAGAAUCUGAAAAAAGUUAGGAAAAUAAAUUUGAAAUACUGUGGCACUAUGAGUCAACCAGAAUUACAGAGCGUUCAGUAAACUGGAGUAAAAAAAGAACUGAAGGUAUCAUUUUCAAGUCGAUUGUUGUUAGGUGCCAUCAAGUCUGUUCUGACUCAUAGCCAAACUAUGUAUCACAGAACAAAACACUGCCUGGUCCUGUGCCAUUCUUACAAUCGUUACUAUGCUUGAGCCCAUUGUCGCACCCACUGUGUCAGUCUCUCUCUUUGAGGGUCUUCCUUUUUUUCCACUGAUCCUGUACUGUACCAAGCAUGAUGUCCUUCUCCAGGAACUGAUCUUUCCUGACAACAUGUCCAAAGUAUGUAAGACACAGUCUCGCCAUCCUUGCUUCUAAGGAGCAUUCUGGUUGUACUUCUUCCAAGACAGAUUUGUUCCUUCUCUUGGCAGUGCAUUCAAUAUU